GAUGCUCUGAUUAGUUAAGGCAGAACAUGGUUAGUGAAACUAUUUAUUCUCUGGUAUUUCAAUUAUUUAUGGUAUCUCUGGCCAUAGAGAUUACAGCCUGUUUAAAUGCAAGGUCUGACCAUAUGCCUCUAAACAGCAUUUAUCUUGAUAGUGCAAGUGAGAUGAGCAGGACACUGAUGGAAAGCAGUAGGGAUCACAACUGUUCUGAAUGAGAUGCCUUAACACAAGAUCUAUAACAAGAUAAUAUGUACUGUGUUACUUUCAUUUUUUAUUUUUUUUGGAAAAAUUGGUUUGAAUUGUUACAGCUGAGAAUGGAAGACAGCAAUGUUAGGCUUUUGCUGCAGGUGACAAUGGAAGCUCUACUGUGUCAGAAGUAAGGGCCUGGUUCUGCAUAGACCUGGCUGUGAGGUUUUGAGCACUGAUGUCUCUGCUGUGUGUGGGAUUCCUGCGCUUCACUGAAAGUCCAGCUCUGCAGGUACUGAAAGGGCUUUUCUCCAGUCACAGUGCUUGAAUGCCAAGGCUGCUUUUGGUGAGCAUACACCAUAGCACCUACAGCCAAAUCUGAAUGUCUGUACUUCCUCCUGUGAUUACUUCAAGCUUUGUUUCAUCACCAUGCUUAAUCUCCUUUGUCCUAGGUGCUUUGACAUGAAGGUAUCCAAGACUGCAGGAUUUACAAACACCAUCAGAAUGGGGCAUCAUUUCUCUGGACAAAACCUAACAGAAACAUCCAGUGCUGAAGACUCCAGAAUUUCCCCAUCUAGACAACCCAUUAUAAGGCCUCACAGUCCUACUAUAAUGAAAGUUGGUGAGUUGUUUUUGUUUGUUUGUUUGUUUUGUUUUGUUUGUUUGUUCAUUUUCCCCUUGGUGUCUAAUAAGAAUCUUCUACAUUCUAAUUUAAGCUUUUUCCUACCUACCCAGCUCACCACAGUCUGAGCAUAGAUGUACUAUAGAUGUAUUCCUCUGCUAUUUGCAGAAACCCUUUAGGUAAUUAAAGACAUUCUUAGUAUCCCCUCCAUCUCCUUUUCCUUACAGUAAGCAAAUACCAUUUUUUCCAGUCUUCCCCUCACAGGUAAUGUCUGCUGUAGCUGUGGUGAUUGCUACAAUGCCUUAGACCCUCCCCAGACAGCUUGUGUCUUCCUUAUAUGCUGUGAACAAACUAAACCCAAUGGGGCCAGAUUCAUGGAGAGUCAAAAUAACAGUGUCACCCAGAGUCUUGCAGCUCCUGAAUUUAUUUUCUAGUACAGUACUGGGCAUAUCACAGCCCUCAGACUGAAUGACCUGUAAGCAGCAUGUGUAUGAUGCCCAGACAUGCUCCAAAAGCUUCUAGCACAUACAUGGCACCCCCUCAAAGGGAACUACAGGCCUUUUGCCUCCACUUUUUACAAUGAUGGUGUUUCAGUGAAAACCUGGCCCCAAACUAAUCUUGCUGUCAUCUCAACCAAUCCACUUACCUUCCCCUUUUCGCUCCUAGAUCUCACGGCCACACAGGAUGAGAUGAUGCACCACAGCACUCAUUGAGCUGUCCUUGUCUACACAAAACAAAGCCUUCACAUUGGGGGAACAGCGCGUGGGAAGGACUGAGAAUUCAGCAAGUUCUCCUCACAGAAAUCACCUAACCUCUCUCACAGUGCCCUUCAGACGCAUGAGAGCUUGUUACCCAUCUUGCUAUACUGCAUGCUAAUUCUGUGGAUUUCUUGAGAACCUUAUCUCUUCUGAGCAUCUAGAGAAUACCUACUUGGUCAACUCUUCCUUUCUCUGCAGAGCAUUACAUCCUCACCAGUUUCUACAGUUGAAGUAUUUUUUGGAAAACCAUUUUUCAGCAGCGGCUUUUCAACAGACUUAGGCCCCAGCACUAAAGAGAACACCUUCAAAAUUGAAUGGGGGGGAUCACGCAUGUGCAGCCACUAAAGAAAGGGAAAAUAUUUGUGCACAUUCCCCUAAUGACUGUUUUUCACAAGAAUCUAUCCCAUGAUCUGUGUUCUCUCUCCCUGACAAUAUGGAUAUAGUAUGGAUAUGGAGUUGGAUAUGAAGGGUUGGAAAGGGGGUUUUGGUGUCUGGGGAGGGUA
Anas platyrhynchos (mallard) is the source of this 2066-nucleotide long non-coding RNA. RefSeq lists it as uncharacterized. The record is from RefSeq and is a predicted model, not a curated record. Lineage: Eukaryota; Metazoa; Chordata; Aves; Anseriformes; Anatidae.